UACGAGGGGGGCAAAUGUUGUUCGGAAUCACUGGGCGUAAAGGGAGCGUAGGCGGGUUUCUAAGUCAGGUGUUUAAUCCCGGGGCCCAACCCCGGACAGGCACUUGAAACUGGGAAUCUUGAAUAGUGGAGAGGUCAGUGGAGUUGGGGGUGUAGCGGUGGAAUGCGUAGAGAUCCCCAAGAACACCAGUUGCGAAGGCGGCUGACUGGACACAUAUUGACGCUGAGGCUCGAAAGCAUGGGGAGCAAACAGG
This 253-nucleotide ribosomal RNA is filed under the name uncultured bacterium. RNAcentral's name for it is "partial 16S ribosomal RNA". It matches the Rfam family "Bacterial small subunit ribosomal RNA", at positions 524 to 776 of the family's 1533-position model. The record is from RNAcentral.